Molecule: long non-coding RNA, 1109 nt
Organism: Acipenser ruthenus (sterlet)
Lineage: Eukaryota; Metazoa; Chordata; Actinopteri; Acipenseriformes; Acipenseridae
Exons: 4
Source: RefSeq, a predicted model, not a curated record
AGGUCAUAGUGGAGAAUUCGGACUUCACUCCCACCCAGGUGGGCUGUCUCUUCACCUUCCUCGCCAGGCAGCUCGCCAAGCCCGACAACACUCUUUGUGAACAGGAAGCUCUUUUACCAGGUCCUUGAAUUUCUCUGUAGUCCUGAUGAUGACUCCAGACAUACAGAAAGACAGAAGUAACAACGCCACUGUCAGGCAGGAGAUGGCGUUGUUUUAGGGCUAGCAUUAUGCAUACCGUUAGCACUGGUGAUAACAGGGUGGCCCAUAGUCAACUUACAUGAGAAACACCUGCCAACGGAGCGUCAUCUGUCAGUCUGCCAGAUCUGCAGUCUGCUGUCCUACUGUGACUGAAAUCAACAUGCAACAGGGAGAUGCAGCUUUUACAUAUAUAGUGGAGAAGAUACAUCAGCUACCAGAUCUGUGCGUUCAUGUACGAGAAAAAGCACUUGUAUGACAAAAUCAUCUACUGCUAUUUGAAAGAUCCCUUAAGAAAGGUACGGUAGGCAAUGUUUUACUGUAUCUGUGUUUUUCAUACUGGUAUACAUUCUCUCAGCCUCCCACAAACGAACCGACUGAAAAACAAAGUAGUUGGCCAUAUUGUCCGCUGACAGCAAAUUCUUUGUAUUUUUACAAAAUCGUAGUUUUGACCUAUUGUGUGAGCAUGUUCUACAGCUGGUUUCACAGAUGCAUUAGGACUAACCUCUGGACUUCCUAAUGUUACCUGAUGGUACCAUAGACCUAGAUGAGUGCUAAUCAGAGUCUGUGAAACCAGCAUAGAGUGUCGAAACAUAAACCAGCCUUCAGAUAUGUCAUAUCUUUUCCUCAGCCAGCAAUUAUUAUUCUAUGUGGAGCAUCAGGCUUUAGUGUGAUCGUCUGCUAUUGAAAGCAGUGUAAUUGUCUUUUUGUUUUAAGGAUUUUCUGAAAUGCUUCAGAUUACUAGCAGUACCAAAUAUCAAUUCACAAAAUGCACACAAAUGUACUGAAGUCAGUCCAUUCUGGGGCUUUAGAGAUAAUCCUACAGUAGAAAGGACCUGCUACGAAAAUCUCCUGCUAAAAAUAGGGAUAAUACCAUGUGCUGUGCUUUUCACGAGAAUUCAUCUUCACUAAAA